RNAcentral lists this ribosomal RNA (303 nucleotides) under uncultured bacterium. Its description in RNAcentral is "partial 16S ribosomal RNA". It matches the Rfam family "Bacterial small subunit ribosomal RNA", at positions 507 to 808 of the family's 1533-position model. The record is from RNAcentral.
AGCAGUCGCCGCGGGAAUACGUAGGUCCCGAGCGUUGUCCGGAUUUAUUGGGCGUAAAGCGAGCGCAGGCGGUUAGAUAAGUCUGAAGUUAAAGGCUGUGGCUUAACCAUAGUACGCUUUGGAAACUGUUUAACUUGAGUGCAAGAGGGGAGAGUGGAAUUCCAUGUGUAGCGGUGAAAUGCGUAGAUAUAUGGAGGAACACCGGUGGCGAAAGCGGCUCUCUGGCUUGUAACUGACGCUGAGGCUCGAAAGCGUGGGGAGCAAACAGGAUUAGAUACCCGAGUAGUCCCUGUCUCUUAUACA